Molecule: ribosomal RNA, 419 nt
Filed under: Nostoc sp. KL02
Lineage: Bacteria; Bacillati; Cyanobacteriota; Cyanophyceae; Nostocales; Nostocaceae
Description: bacterial LSU rRNA
Rfam family: Bacterial large subunit ribosomal RNA
Source: RNAcentral
GACUGUCGACUUGAGUAGAGCAAACAUAGGUGAGAAUCCAAUGCCACGAAACCCUAAGGUUUCCUCCGCCAGGUUCGUCCCCAGAGGAUUAGUUAGGACCUAAGGCGAGGCCUAACGGCGUAGUCGAUGGACACCGGGUUAAAAUUCCCGUACUGAUUGUAGGUUGUGCAGAGGGACGGAGAAGAUGAAUGUCAGCUGGAUGUUGGUUACCGGUUCAAGCGUCAAGAUAUUGAGAGACGGCGAAAAAGUUUCGAGUUGAGGCGUGAGUACGACCCGCGACGGUGGGGAAGUGGCAUAGACUAGCUUCCAAGAAAAGCUCUAAACACCUUAACUUACAGUCACCUGUACCCGAUACCGACACAGCUAGGGAGGUUGAUAAUACCAAGGGGCGCGAGAUAACUCUCUCAAAGGAACUCGGC